This 253-nucleotide ribosomal RNA is filed under the name uncultured bacterium. RNAcentral describes it as "partial 16S ribosomal RNA". It matches the Rfam family "Bacterial small subunit ribosomal RNA", at positions 524 to 776 of the family's 1533-position model. The record is from RNAcentral.
UACGUAGGGGGCAAGCGUUGUCCGGAUUUAUUGGGCGUAAAGAGCGUGUAGGCGGCUUUACAGGUCCGUUGUGAAAACUCGAGGCUCAACCUCGAGACGCCAGUGGAAACCGUAAAGCUAGAGUCCGGAAGAGGAGAGUGGAAUUCCUGGUGUAGCGGUGAAAUGCGCAGAUAUCAGGAAGAACACCCGUGGCGAAGGCGGCUCUCUGGUACGUGACUGACGCUGAGACGCGAAAGCGUGGGGAGCAAACAGG